UACGAAGGGUGCAAGCGUUAAUCGGAAUUACUGGGCGUAAAGCGUGCGUAGGUGGUUUGUUAAGUCUGCUGUGAAAGCCCUGGGCUCAACCUGGGAAUGGCGGUGGAUACUGGCAGGCUAGAGUGCGGUAGAGGAGGGUGGAAUUCCCGGUGUAGCGGUGAAAUGCGUAGAGAUCGGGAGGAACAUCAGUGGCGAAGGCGGCCCUCUGGACCAGCACUGACGCUGAGGCACGAAAGCGUGGGGAGCAAACAGG
Molecule: ribosomal RNA, 253 nt
Filed under: uncultured bacterium
Lineage: Bacteria
Description: partial 16S ribosomal RNA
Rfam family: Bacterial small subunit ribosomal RNA
Source: RNAcentral